CCUACGGGAGGCUGCAGUGGGGAAUAUUGCACAAUGGGGGAAACCCUGAUGCAGCGACGCCGCGUGAGUGAAGAAGUAAUUCGUUAUGUAAAGCUCUAUCAGCAGGGAAGAAAAUGACGGUACCUGAGUAAGAAGCCCCGGCUAACUACGUGCCAGCAGCCGCGGUAAUACGUAGGGGGUAAGCGUUAUCCGGAUUUACUGGGUGGAAAGGGAGCGUAGACGGCAGUGCAAGUCUGGAGUGAAAGGCGGGGGCUCAACCCCCGGACUGCUCUGGAAACUGUACGGCUGGAGUGCAGGAGAGGUAAGUGGAAUUCCUAGUGUAGCGGUGAAAUGCGUAGAUAUUAGGAGGAACACCAGUGGCGAAGGCGGCUUACUGGACUGUAACUGACGUUGAGGCUCGAAAGCGUGGGGAGCAAACAGGAUUAGAUACCCCAGUAGUC
This 440-nucleotide ribosomal RNA is filed under the name uncultured bacterium. RNAcentral's name for it is "partial 16S ribosomal RNA". It matches the Rfam family "Bacterial small subunit ribosomal RNA", at positions 338 to 795 of the family's 1533-position model. The record is from RNAcentral.